Molecule: ribosomal RNA, 468 nt
Filed under: uncultured bacterium
Lineage: Bacteria
Description: partial 16S ribosomal RNA
Rfam family: Bacterial small subunit ribosomal RNA
Source: RNAcentral
GACGAACGCUGGCGGCGUGCUUAACACAUGCAAGUCGAACGGAAAGGCCCUGCUUUUGUGGGGUGCUCGAUUGGCGAACGGGUGAGUAACACGUGAGUAACCUGCCCUUGUCUUUGGGAUAACUUCAGGAAACUGGGGCUAAUACCGGAUAGGAUCUCCUGCUGCAUGGUGGGGGUUGGAAAGUUUCGGCGGUUGGGGAUGGACUCGCGGCUUAUCAGCUUGUUGGUGGGGUAGUGGCUUACCCAGGCUUUGACGGGUAGCCGGCCUGAGAGGGUGACCGGCCACAUUGGGACUGAGGUACGGACCAGACGGCAACGGGAGGCAGCAGUGGGGAAUAUUGCACAGUGGGAGGAAGCCUGAUGCAGCAACGCCGCGUGCGGGAUGACGGCUUUCGGGUUGUAAACAGCUUUCGCCUGUGACGAAGCGUGAGUGACGGUAAUGGGUAAAGAAGCACCGGCUAACUACGUG